This 520-nucleotide ribosomal RNA is filed under the name uncultured Glomus. RNAcentral describes it as "SSU rRNA". It matches the Rfam family "Eukaryotic small subunit ribosomal RNA", at positions 569 to 1091 of the family's 1831-position model. The record is from RNAcentral. Lineage: Eukaryota; Fungi; Glomeromycota; Glomeromycetes; Glomerales; Glomeraceae.
AGCAGCCGCGGUAAUUCCAGCUCCAAUAGCGUAUAUUAAGGUUGCUGCAGUUAAAAAGCUCGUAGUUGAAUUUCGGGACCAAUAUGUCGGUCGUGCCUCGGUACGUGCUGGCAUCGUUGGUUUCUCCUUUCUGACGAACCAUGAUGUCAUUAAUUUGGCGUUAUGGGAAGUUAGGACUGUUACUUUGAAAAAACUAGAGUGUUUAAAGCAGGCUUUAGCUUGAAUACAUUAGCAUGGAAUAAUGAAAUAGGACGUUCGAACCUAUUUUGUUGGUUUCUAGGAUCAACGUAAUGGUUAAUAGGGAUAGUUGGGGGCAUUAGUAUUCAAUUGUCAGAGGUGAAAUUCUUGGAUUUAUUGAAGACUAACUACUGCGAAAGCAUUUGCCAAGGAUGUUUUCAUUAAUCAAGAACGAAAGUUAGGGGAUCGAAGACGAUCAGAUACCGUCGUAGUCUUAACCAUAAACUAUGCCGACUAGGGAUCGGAUGAUGUUAAUUUUAUAAUGACUCAUUCGGCACCUUAA